This 73-nucleotide transfer RNA is filed under the name Ixodes scapularis (black-legged tick). Its description in RNAcentral is "tRNA-Ser for anticodon GGA". It matches the Rfam family "tRNA". From Rfam's summary of the family: Transfer RNA (tRNA) molecules are approximately 80 nucleotides in length. Their secondary structure includes four short double-helical elements and three loops (D, anti-codon, and T loops). Lineage: Eukaryota; Metazoa; Arthropoda; Arachnida; Ixodida; Ixodidae. The record is from RNAcentral.
CCCUGAUUAGCUAAGUUGGUAGAUCGCUCCACUGGAGAUGGAGAGGUCCCGGGUUCGAUACCCGAACCAGACG